AGCUUUUUGAAUUUAUAAAAGGUUUUUUCUGCCCGGUGUAAAUAUUUUAUUAACGGCCGCGGUACUUUGACCGUGCGAAGGUAGCAUAAUCAUUUGCCUUAUAAUUGAAGGCUGGAAUGAAUGGAUUAACAAGAAAAAAGCUGUCUUUACUUUUUUUAUAGAAUUUUUUUUAUGAGUGAAGAAACUCAUUAUUAGGAAUUAGACGAGAAGACCCUAUUGAGCUUUACUAUUUAUUAAAAUUUUUGUAAUUUUUUUUUAAAAGUGUUUUAAAAAUAAUAGUUUAAUUGGGGCGAUUAAGGAAGGAUAAUUUAUUUUAAUCUUCCUUUUUCUUUUUAUUUAUAAGUUCUUUUUGAUCCUUUUUUAAAGAUUAAAAGAAUUAGUUACCAUAGGGAUAACAGCGUAAUCUUUUUUUAGAGUUCUUAUCGAAAAAAGGGUUUGCGACCUCGAUGUUGGACUAAGAUAUCCGAAAGGUGUAGAAGCUUUUUUGGUAAGUCUGUUCGACUUUUAAAAUCUUACAUGAUCUGAGUUCAGACCGGUGUAA
RNAcentral lists this ribosomal RNA (541 nucleotides) under Cephalothrix sp. 1 TCH-2015. RNAcentral describes it as "partial 16S ribosomal RNA". It matches the Rfam family "Bacterial large subunit ribosomal RNA", at positions 1817 to 2624 of the family's 2925-position model. Lineage: Eukaryota; Metazoa; Nemertea; Palaeonemertea; Archinemertea; Cephalotrichidae. The record is from RNAcentral.